RNAcentral lists this ribosomal RNA (672 nucleotides) under uncultured Burkholderiales bacterium. RNAcentral's name for it is "bacterial SSU rRNA". It matches the Rfam family "Bacterial small subunit ribosomal RNA", at positions 79 to 744 of the family's 1533-position model. Lineage: Bacteria; Pseudomonadati; Pseudomonadota; Betaproteobacteria; Burkholderiales. The record is from RNAcentral.
GCUUCUCUGUCGGCGAGUGGCGAACGGGUGAGUAUAGCAUCGGAACGUGCCAAGUAGUGGGGGAUAACCAAACGAAAGUUUGGCUAAUACCGCGUAAGCUCCAAGGAGGAAAGUAGGGGACCUAAAUAAGGCCUUACGCUAUUUGAUCGGCCGAUGUCGGAUUAGCUAGUUGGUGGGGUAAUGGCUCACCAAGGCAAUGAUCCGUAGCGGGUCUGAGAGGACGAUCCGCCACACUGGGACUGAGACACGGCCCAGACUCCUACGGGAGGCAGCAGUGGGGAAUUUUGGACAAUGGGGGAAACCCUGAUCCAGCCAUGCCGCGUGUAUGAAGAAGGCCUUAGGGUUGUAAAGUACUUUUGUUAGGGAAGAAAAGCUAGUUUUUAAUAAAAAUUAGUGAUGACGGUACCUAAAGAAUAAGCACCGGCUAACUACGUGCCAGCAGCCGCGGUAAUACGUAGGGUGCAAGCGUUAAUCGGAAUUAUUGGGCGUAAAGCGAGUGCAGACGGUUACUUAAGCCAGAUGUGAAAUCCCCAAGCUUAACUUGGGACGUGCAUUUGGAACUGGGUGACUAGAGUGUGUCAGAGGGAGGUAGAAUUCCACAUGUAGCGGUGGAAUGCGUAGAGAUGUGGAGGAAUACCGAUGGCGAAGGCAGCCUCCUGGGAUAACACUGAC